This 499-nucleotide ribosomal RNA is filed under the name uncultured bacterium. Its description in RNAcentral is "bacterial SSU rRNA". It matches the Rfam family "Bacterial small subunit ribosomal RNA", at positions 28 to 527 of the family's 1533-position model. The record is from RNAcentral.
GAUGAACGCUAGCGGCAGGCUUAACACAUGCAAGUCGAGGGGUAUAUCAUUUCGGUGAUAGAGACCGGCGCACGGGUGCGUAACGCGUAUGCAAUCUACCUUUUACAGGGGAAUAGCCCAGAGAAAUUUGGAUUAAUGCCCCAUGGUAUUAUGAAAUGGCAUCAUUUUAUAAUUAAAGUUCCAACGGUAAAAGAUGAGCAUGCGUCCCAUUAGUUAGUUGGUAAGGUAACGGCUUACCAAGACGAUGAUGGGUAGGGGUCCUGAGAGGGAGAUCCCCCACACUGGUACUGAGACACGGACCAGACUCCUACGGGAGGCAGCAGUGAGGAAUAUUGGACAAUGGGCGCAAGCCUGAUCCAGCCAUGCCGCGUGCAGGAAGAAGCAUCUAUGGUGUGUAAACUGCUUUUAUACAGGAAGAAACACUCCCUCGUGAGGGAGCUUGACGGUACUGUAAGAAUAAGGACCGGCUAACUCCGUGCCAGCAGCCGACGGUAAAACG